GCCAGCAUGUAAUGGUGGGGACUCUAAACAGACUGCCUGUGCAAACAGAGAGCAAGGAGGGGACGACGUCAAGUCAUCAUGGCCCUUACGUCCGGGGCUACACACGUGCUACAAUGGACGGUACAGAGGGCAGCUAUACAGCAAUGUAAUGCGAAUCUCACAAAGCCGUUCACAGUUCGGAUUGGGGUCUGCAACUCGACCCCAUGAAGUUGGAUUCGCUAGUAAUCGCGUAUCAGCAAUGACGCGGUGAAUACGUU
Molecule: ribosomal RNA, 257 nt
Filed under: Pedobacter rhizosphaerae
Lineage: Bacteria; Pseudomonadati; Bacteroidota; Sphingobacteriia; Sphingobacteriales; Sphingobacteriaceae
Description: partial 16S ribosomal RNA
Rfam family: Bacterial small subunit ribosomal RNA
Source: RNAcentral